UGAGUACGAGAUGCUACGGCAUCGAAGCAGUCUAUGUCAUACUUCCAAGAAAAGCUCGCAAUGUCAUAAACAAAUAAUGCCUGUACCAUAACCGACACAGGUGGGUAGGUAGAGUAUACUAAGGGGCGCGAGAUAACUCUCUCUAAGGAACUCGGCAAAAUGACUCCGUAACUUCGGGAGAAGGAGUGCCUUAUUUUAUAAGGUUGCAAUAACAAGAUCCAAGCAACUGUUUACCAAAAACACAGGUCUCCGCUAAGUCGUAAGACGAUGUAUGGGGGCUGACGCCUGCCCAGUGCCAGAAGGUUAAAGAAGUUGGUUAGCAUUAGCGAAGCUGAUAACUGAAGCCCUGGUGAACGGCGGCCGUAACCAUAACGGUCCUAAGGUAGCGAAAUUCCUUGUCGGGUAAGUUCCGACCCGCACGAAAGGCGUAAUGAUUUGGAUACUGUCUCAGAGAGGGGCUCGGUGAAAUAGACUUGUCUGUGAAGAUGCGGACUACCUGCACCUGGACAGAAAGGCCCUAUGAAGCUUUACUGUAACUUGAGAUUGAAAUUGGACUUUAUUUGCGCAGUAUAGGUGGGAGACGUUGAAAAUAUUCUUGCGGGAAUAUUGGAGUCAUCAGUGAGAUACCACUCUUAUAAUGUUAGAUUUCUAACUUUGUAUCAUUAUCUGGUCAAAGAACAGUUUCAGGCGGGCAGUUUGACUGGGGCGGUCGCCUCCCAAAGGGUAACGGAGGCGCACAAAGGUUUCCUCUGAACGUGUAGAAAUCGUAUCUAGAGUGUAAAGGCAUAAGGAAGCUUGACUGUGAGACCUACAAGUCGAGCAGGGACGAAAGUCGGUCUUAGUGAUCUGACGGUGCUGAGUGGAAAGGCCGUCACUCAACGGAUAAAAGUUACUCUAAGGAUAACAGGCUGAUCUCCCCCAAGAGUUCACAUCGACGGGGAGGUUUGGCACCUCGAUGUCGGCUCAUCGCAUCCUGGGGCGGUAGUACGUCCCAAGGGUUGGGCUGUUCGCCCAUGAAAGCGGUACGCGAGCUGGGUCCAGAACGUCGUGAGACAGUUCGGUCCAUAUCCGGUGUAGGCGUUAGAAUAUUGAGAGGAGCCUUCUUUAGUACGAAAGGACCGAGAAGGACGUACCUCUGGUGUACCAGUUAUCGUGCCAACGGUAAACGCUGGGUAGCUAUGUAUGGAGAGGAUAACCGCUGAAAGCAUCUAAGUGGGAAGCCCACCUCAAGAUAAG
RNAcentral lists this ribosomal RNA (1236 nucleotides) under metagenome. RNAcentral's name for it is "bacterial LSU rRNA". It matches the Rfam family "Bacterial large subunit ribosomal RNA", at positions 1564 to 2808 of the family's 2925-position model. The record is from RNAcentral.